GAUGAACGCUGGCGGCGUGCCUAAUACAUGCAAGUCGAGCGAACAGACGAGGAGCUUGCUCCUCUGACGUUAGCGGCGGACGGGUGAGUAACACGUGGAUAACCUACCUAUAAGACUGGGAUAACUUCGGGAAACCGGAGCUAAUACCGGAUAAUAUAUUGAACCGCAGGGUUCAAUAGUGAAAGACGGUUUUGCUGUCACUUAUAGAUGGAUCCGCGCCGCAUUAGCUAGUUGGUAAGGUAACGGCUUACCAAGGCAACGAUGCGUAGCCGACCUGAGAGGCUGAUCGGCCACACUGGAACUGAGACACGGUCCAGACUCCUACGGGAGGCAGCAGUAGGGAAUCUUCCGCAAUGGGCGAAAGCCUGACGGAGCAACGCCGCGUGAGUGAUGAAGGUCUUCGGAUCGUAAAACCCUGUUAUUAGGGAAGAACAAAUGUGUAAGUAACUAUGCACGUCUUGACGGUACCUAAUCAGAAAGCCACGGCUAACUACGUG
Molecule: ribosomal RNA, 497 nt
Filed under: uncultured bacterium
Lineage: Bacteria
Description: partial 16S ribosomal RNA
Rfam family: Bacterial small subunit ribosomal RNA
Source: RNAcentral